Non-coding RNA from Drosophila melanogaster (fruit fly), 737 nucleotides. Lineage: Eukaryota; Metazoa; Arthropoda; Insecta; Diptera; Drosophilidae. The record is from Ensembl.
AAGCAUUGAAUUCAAUGGCAUUUAAAAGAGAUUUCCUGCCUCAUAUGUCCACCUCAUUAAUUUCUUGCCAAUGUGCAAACAUUCUCUCUGAGCCUCCCAACCAAGGUAUUGCAAACAAAAAUGAGCUGAAUAAUAUCCAUAGAAAUCUCCUUGGCACGAGGAGCCUCCAAGAACUUAAUCAGGAGCUGUUGACAUUGCCAGGUCUAUUCAACCAGCCCAGACUCCUGGCUCCCAUGACACUGGCUUUCUUUAAAAAGGAAUCCCUGGCCUCGGGCAAAUAUGCUAAGACCAGAAUUGCUGCCCAGGCUCUCCGAGAUCGAGAGCCGGCCAAACUCAUCCUUAGCCUCUCGUCCCCAUCAGUCUUAGUUGGCCAUUCUGUUGGCCUGGCCCGAAGGAAAUGAAAAAGUUUUUAGGCCCAUCUGCUGCCUUCUUGGCCUCCUCAUUCAAUUGCCACCGGCGUCUCUGGCUUUUGUGCUCCUCCGCAGCUCCUUCGAUGGUGCCCCCCAAGAACCCUGAGGUCUUUGAGUUUUCACUUAGGCUUUUUGCAUAAUCAAGAUAAACGAUAAGUAAAUUUAUCUUUAUUAACAAAUCUUUAACGUGGCCGAGUAAUUUAUUUGCGGUUGGCCUCCGUCAGACGAAAUUUUCACCAGCGGCCCUUUUCUUAUUUGACUGACAUUUGAAAUUGAGUUUCGGUCUGCGGUUUGUAUAAGGCCAGGAAGUCGGAUUUGUUUGUCAGU